AGAGUUUGAUCCUGGCUCAGGAUGAACGCUAGCGGCAGGCCUAAUACAUGCAAGUCGAGCGGAGUCAGCAAUGGCUUAGCGGCGAACGGGUGCGUAACGCGUAUGUAACCUGCCCCAGGGAGGGGGACAACACUGGGAAACUGGUGCUAAUACCCCAUGAUGCAGCGGGCCCGCAUGGGCAUAGUUGUUAAAGGAGCAAUCCGCCUUGGGAGGGGCAUGCGUCCGAUUAGCUAGUUGGCGGGGUAGCGGCCCACCAAGGCGACGAUCGGUAACUGGUCUUAGAGGAUGAUCAGUCACACUGGCACUGAGACACGGGCCAGACUCCUACGGGAGGCAGCAGUAGGGAAUAUUGGGCAAUGGGCGAAAGCCUGACCCAGCCAUGCCGCGUGCAGGAAGAAGGUCCAUCGGAUUGUAAACUGCUUUUAUCCGGGAAUAAGGUGUUUGUAACUCAAGCACUCGAAGGUACCGGGGGAAUAAGGACCGGCUAACUACGUGCCAGCAGCCGCGGUAAUACGUAGGGUCCAAGCGUUGUCCGGAUUUACUGGGUUUAAAGGGUGCGCAGGCGGGCUUGCAAGUCGAUGAUGAAAUGUCAGGGCUCAACCUUGGCGCUGUUGUCGAAACUGCAAGUCUUGAGCGUGGUUGAGGUAUCUGGAACGAGUGGUGUAGCGGUGAAAUGCGUAGAGAUCACUCAGAACACCAAUUGCGAAGGCAGGAUACUGGGCCAUAGCUGACGCUCAGGCACGAAAGCGUGGGGAUCAAACAGGAUUAGAUACCCUGGUAGUCCACGCCCUAAACUAUGAAUACUAAAUUUCGGGGCGUAAGUCUCGGAGUUUGAGCAAAAGCGUUAAGUAUUCCACCUGGGAAGUACGCUCGCAAGGGUGAAACUCAAAGGAAUUGACGGGGGCCCGCACAAGCGGUGGAGCAUGUGGUUUAAUUCGAUGGUACGCGAGGAACCUUACCUGGGCUAGAAUGCGCGUGACCGCCUCAGAGAUGAGGCUUCCCUUCGGGGCACAAAGCAAGGUGCUGCAUGGCUGUCGUCAGCUCGUGCCGUGAGGUGUUUGGUUAAGUCCAGCAACGAGCGCAACCCCUGUUGUUAGUUGCCAGCGCGUAAUGGCGGGAACUCUAACAAGACUGCCUUCGUAAGAAGUGAGGAAGGAGGGGACGACGUCAAGUCAUCAUGGCCCUUACGUCCAGGGCUACACACGUGCUACAAUGGCCAGUACAAAGGGAAGCAAUACCGCAAGGUCGAGCAAAUCUCAAAAAGCUGGUCUCAGUUCGGAUUGGAGUCUGCAACUCGACUCCAUGAAGUUGGAAUCGCUAGUAAUCGCGUAUCAGCAAUGACGCGGUGAAUACGUUCCCGGGCCUUGUACACACCGCCCGUCAAGCCAUGGAAGCUGGGAGCGCCUGAAGUCGGGGGAUUGAAUCCCUGCCUAGGGCGAUACUGGUAACUGGGGCUAAGUCGUAACAAGGUA
Molecule: ribosomal RNA, 1472 nt
Filed under: metagenome
Description: bacterial SSU rRNA
Rfam family: Bacterial small subunit ribosomal RNA
Source: RNAcentral